CUAAUACAUGCAAGUCGAGCGGACCGACGGGAGCUUGCUCCCUUAGGUCAGCGGCGGACGGGUGAGUAACACGUGGGUAACCUGCCUGUAAGACUGGGAUAACUCCGGGAAACCGGGGCUAAUACCGGAUGCUUGAUUGAACCGCAUGGUUCAAUCAUAAAAGGUGGCUUUCAGCUACCACUUACAGAUGGACCCGCGGCGCAUUAGCUAGUUGGUGAGGUAACGGCUCACCAAGGCGACGAUGCGUAGCCGACCUGAGAGGGUGAUCGGCCACACUGGGACUGAGACACGGCCCAGACUCCUACGGGAGGCAGCAGUAGGGAAUCUUCCGCAAUGGACGAAAGUCUGACGGAGCAACGCCGCGUGAGUGAUGAAGGUUUUCGGAUCGUAAAACUCUGUUGUUAGGGAAGAACAAGUACCGUUCGAAUAGGGCGGCACCUUGACGGUACCUAACCAGAAAGCCACGGCUAACUACGUGCCAGCAGCCGCGGUAAUACGUAGGUGGCAAGCGUUGUCCGGAAUUAUUGGGCGUAAAGCGCGCGCAGGCGGUUUCUUAAGUCUGAUGUGAAAGCCCCCGGCUCAACCGGGGAGGGUCAUUGGAAACUGGGGAACUUGAGUGCAGAAGAGGAGAGUGGAAUUCCACGUGUAGCGGUGAAAUGCGUAGAGAUGUGGAGGAACACCAGUGGCGAAGGCGACUCUCUGGUCUG
RNAcentral lists this ribosomal RNA (707 nucleotides) under uncultured Bacillus sp. RNAcentral's name for it is "bacterial SSU rRNA". It matches the Rfam family "Bacterial small subunit ribosomal RNA", at positions 48 to 736 of the family's 1533-position model. The record is from RNAcentral. Lineage: Bacteria; Bacillati; Bacillota; Bacilli; Caryophanales; Bacillaceae.